UACGGAGGGUGCGAGCGUUGUCCGGAAUCACUGGGCGUAAAGGGCGCGUAGGCGGCUCAUGAAGGCUGUGGUGAAAGUCCGGGGCUCAACCUCGGAUCGGCCGUGGCGACUCGUGGGCUGGAGCACUGUAGAGGCGGGUGGAAUUCCGGGUGUAGCGGUGGAAUGCGUAGAGAUCCGGAAGAACACCAGUGGCGAAGGCGGCCCGCUGGGCAGUGGCUGACGCUGAAGCGCGACAGCGUGGGGAGCAAACAGG
This 253-nucleotide ribosomal RNA is filed under the name uncultured bacterium. RNAcentral's name for it is "partial 16S ribosomal RNA". It matches the Rfam family "Bacterial small subunit ribosomal RNA", at positions 524 to 776 of the family's 1533-position model. RNAcentral also lists the same sequence under 2 other names. The record is from RNAcentral.